Molecule: transfer RNA, 72 nt
Filed under: Hymenobacter sp.
Lineage: Bacteria; Pseudomonadati; Bacteroidota; Cytophagia; Cytophagales; Hymenobacteraceae
Description: tRNA-Gly
Rfam family: tRNA
About the family: Transfer RNA (tRNA) molecules are approximately 80 nucleotides in length. Their secondary structure includes four short double-helical elements and three loops (D, anti-codon, and T loops).
Source: RNAcentral
GCAAGUGUAGUAUAAUGGUCAUUAUCUCCGCCUUCCAAGCGGAUCAUGCGAGUUCGAUUCUCGCCACUUGUA